Molecule: ribosomal RNA, 393 nt
Filed under: Methana marginalis
Lineage: Eukaryota; Metazoa; Arthropoda; Insecta; Blattodea; Blattidae
Description: partial small subunit ribosomal RNA
Source: RNAcentral
UAUUAUUUUAGAUAUAAAUUAUUUUAACUUAAGUAGUAUUAGUUAAGGUCUUGAAACUUAAAGAAUUUGGCGGUAUUUUAGUCUAUUUAGAGGAAUCUGUCCCUUAAUCGAUAGUCCGCGUUGUACCUUACCAAAUUUUUUGUAUGUAUACCGCCGUUAUUAAUGAGAAUCUUUUUAGAGUUUAUUAAUUUUCUGAAUUUAUUUUUAAAAAAUAUUUCAGGUCAAGGUGCAGUUUAAUAUUUUGGUGGUGGUGGAUUACAUUUAUAUUAAUUAUUUGGAUUAUUUUUUGUAAUUAGAAUAUAAAAGUGGAUUUAAUUGUAAUUUUUUGUAGAUUGUAAAAUUGAUUUUAGCUCUAUAAUAUGUACACAUCGCCCGUCGCUCUCAUUAUUAGUU